GAAAACCCUAGUUUCACGCCGGCCCUUCUCCAUCCAACUCCUCAUCUUCCGAUAGUUUUUGAUCCCGAACCCUUCUCCCAACUCCUCAUCUCACGCUGGCCUUCUCCAUCUAACUCCUCCUCUCACGCCCUCUCCUUCCAACUCCUCUCCGGCAGACCCCCGCAAACCACUCCUCCGAACUCCUCUCCGUGUGAGAGAUCGACCCAUCUCUUCGCCUCCUUCGCCCCUGACGCUGAGGCAGUGUGACCACACUCGAUCAAAUGAUGCCUUCGCUCCGAUCGCCGUCUCUAACCCUAAUCCAUCCUCCGUCGAUCACUCCCUCGACAACGCUGGCGUCCUCAUCUCCUCACAGGAUGCGGAGGCCUUGCUCAAGCUCUCUUACUCCUUGUCAGGUGUCGCCGUUGGCUUCUUUCUUGGGCGGUAUCCGCUACCUCAACGAUCAACAGUCACCCUAUGUGUGGAACUUUAUGGUCGACCUCCUCGGCAAUAACCUCCUUUUUGACACUAUGUGGAACUCCGUUCGCUCCAUGCAAUUUGAGGCCUUCUCUCACUAUGCGAAGCUAUGGAUUUCUCCAUCGAGUCACUGUUUUGUGCCUUGCGUUAUGCCAAACUCAGCAUUUUCUUGUAAGGGUUGGCUCUAUAAUUAAGUUCCUAUCUACCAAUUAUUUCAAAGCCCUAACUCUUUAUGACUCUAAAUGUGAGGGAAAACUACCAAGUCCCACAUUUAGGAGACAUGUGAUUCAGAUGCAAGGUCUUUUAUUGAAAUACUGCAGAGGUAGCAAAAGACAAGUAUCUUAAAUGAUAGAAGAGUCAAAUAAAACCAUUUAUUACUAUUAUUAUUAUCUUUAUCUUUUGAUCUAUGAUAUGAAAGGUUUUUGACCUGGAUUGCUUAUGUUAAGAAUAUUAUUAGUAAAUAUCAAGGGCUUCUUGAAUGGUUUAUUACAAAGCCAAGGUUUGUUGCAACUGCAGGAUAUAUAGAUGUCCUAGGACACUUUAGCUUAUGAGUUUUUCCAUUAAUCCUUUUGAAAAUCUGUUAUGUUCAUUCUUCAGUUAUUCACUCAUUCUACAUCCAAGGAUGGCAAAGUUGCAAAUUGAUCUAAUUUUCCAUCUUUGGUGUGGUCAAAUUGGGAAAUCUUGAAUGUUGCCAUGAUCUGUUUGUUUCUUGAAUUUGAUACAUAUUUAUUAGCUUGAAAUAUUUCAAUUUGGCAUCAGAUAUGACUGCUGUCCAAAUAUAAUUAUAGUAUGUUCCAAGAAUGAAUUCAGUAUUCAUGUCCAACGAGGAUUUUGAAUGUUGUCUUCUAACCUCAAGUUUGUGUGGACAGUUGGAUGCCUCUAGUUAGCCAUUGAGCUGUUUCUACUGGAUUUAAUAUUUUGUAGUUUGCUAAUGUAUUUAAUGUUAGGUUGAUCCCAUUGUAUAGCAUCAACAGAUUUCUGGUUAAUCAAAUAGCAAAUACAACAUUUGAAUACAAUUCUAUUAUUAUCCUUUCACUAUGACUACAAAGAGAUGAAAACUAAAAUGCACAUAUCUUUUGAUUCUUGCACUAUCGUCUAUAUUUUAUUUUAGUUAUCAAUUUGACAUUUUCUCUUUUUUGAAAAGUCACUAAAGUCAUGUCUGUAUGCUAAAUGCACAAUAUUACACAACUCUGUUGUCUAAGUAGUUGUAUGUAUUUAUAAUUCUCAUAAAUUUGUAGGAACUGAUUCUUCAACCCAUUCACCUCCCAAUAGGAUUGGACAAGUUUCACAUAGUGUUGUUCUAGGAAUUGUUAAUAUUUCUGAUCAAAGAGAACUAAUGGGCUUGUUGCCUGAUAUUCGUCGGGUAUUUUCUUCAGAAGUUGUAUGACUUCACCUUUACUUGAAGUUAUGCAUUUCUAUGUUUUGGUCUCUUGCAAGUUUAUCUACAAUAUGCUUUAUCCUUUUUAAAAGUUGGUGUAGUUCUGCUAUCUCUAGGAGCUGGGAUUUUAUCUCCUGCUGGUGCUAUCAACACCCCGCUUGUCUCCUAUAUAAUAAGAAGAUGUUUUUAGGGGAAUUAAUGCCCUCUGUGGGGUAGGGAUCCUUUCAACUCCUUAUGCUGUCAAAGAAGGGGAUGUCUUGGCCUAUCCAUAGUUCUAAUAUUUUCUAUGCUUGUCUGGUAUACUGGCAUUCUGCUGCGCUACUACUUGGACAAUGAGGAAGGACUUGAGACAUACCCUGAUAUCGGACAAGCAGCCUUUGACACCACAAGCUGAUUUGCCAUCUCUGUACGUAUAGUGCAUAUCAAUUGCUCAUCCCUUUUUACCUAUUAAUAAGAGAUCUGAUAAGCUAAUUAACCUUGGUUAUUUAAUCCGUGUAUCGUAGAUUGUUCUCUACCUAGAGUUGUGUGUAAAUAAUGAAAACAAAUUCAUAUUUAAGCUUUGGUGGUAGUUCUAUUUUUUUUAACUAAAUAUUUAAUAUUUCUGUUUUACUAAUUUUUGUAUAUUAUGCAGGUUUGCUGUGUUGAGUAUAUCAUUUUAGAGAGGGAUAAAUUUUCUUCUUUGUUUCCAAAUGCAUAGUUGGAAUUAGGUGGGCUACAUAUGGACUCUCCUCUUCUCUUUGCCAUUUUAACCACUCUUCUAGUACUUCCCACAAUAGGGGUUCGAGAUUUAAGUGUUCUUAGUUACCUAUUAGAUAAUAGGCAGCUCCUAGUAAUAGCACAGGACAUUCACAAGAUGUUAGUAGCAGAGCUCAACAAAACAAUCAAACACAGCCACCUGUUACGUUGGUCAAUCAACCCUUUCAAGUGCAACUCGCGAUCACCAGCCGCACUACAACCAAAUAUGUGUCUUUUCAGAUAUUUUGAAUGGUGAAUGGAUGUAUUCAGAAACUCCAGCUAAAUAGCUCGGAUAUGGAUGAUUAUAGGAGCAGCAACUACAUGCUAUGUGGCACUGCAUCCAAACCUCAAGGGGAGGGUGUGACUGGAAAGUACUUCAACGAAGAACUAUUAAGAAGACUUUGGAAUUUAAACGAGAAGAUGGUUAAAGCCAAUGAGUAAAGAACAUUCAAGUCAAGAGGAUAAGUAGCAUCUAGCAAGAUUCUUUAAGUUCAUGCAAUAAGAUAUAAUCGAUAGGAGUAGUUUUGAGUGUUUCCUAAUUAAAAUUUCUUUGUAUGCAAGUAAUUAUGUUUGUUAUAGAAAUGUAAGGAUGAUAAUUUAUAUAUUGAUCUUAGUUGUUUAUUUAA
Molecule: long non-coding RNA, 3192 nt
Organism: Zingiber officinale
Lineage: Eukaryota; Viridiplantae; Streptophyta; Magnoliopsida; Zingiberales; Zingiberaceae
Exons: 4
Source: RefSeq, a predicted model, not a curated record